RNAcentral lists this non-coding RNA (30 nucleotides) under Rattus norvegicus (Norway rat). Lineage: Eukaryota; Metazoa; Chordata; Mammalia; Rodentia; Muridae. The record is from RNAcentral.
UCAUAACAUUUCAGUUUAUCAUGGGACCUG